This 1313-nucleotide long non-coding RNA is filed under the name Nicotiana benthamiana. Its description in RNAcentral is "long non-coding RNA (NBEN_LNC035469)". Lineage: Eukaryota; Viridiplantae; Streptophyta; Magnoliopsida; Solanales; Solanaceae. The record is from RNAcentral.
UCGCCUCGAAUUUAAACAAACAAAAUCUUAGAGUUUGCCCACCCAAAUAUUAACGGCCUAACAUGCUCCUAGCUAUUAAAGCAAUAAAAUAAAAAUAGUCACUCAAAAUGCAAUUCCUUUUUUUUCAGUUCCUUUUUAUAUCCAAAACACUGUGACACAUUCGGCUAAGACAACAUUCAGUUCUUCAAGAUCAAUCUGAACUAAAGAGGAGAAUUAGGCCUUAAUUUGUUCACCUUCUUAUUAACUCAACUACACUAAUUCCAGUGUCUUUCCUCAAACAAGACCAAGCAUGAACCCAUAUUACUCACUUUAAUUAAAUCACACACCUACAUAAGAUUCAAGGAAUAGAAGACUAAAAUAUCACGUUCUAUCUUCAUCAAACAUCAAAAAUCAGAAUAAUAAUAUAGCCACGCUAAAAAAAAAUACCACAUGCAUAGAAAUUUAAAAGGAACAAACAGAUAGGGAAAGAGAUUGGACCUUUAUUGCUGCAUAUCUUCACAAUUACAGUAAAAGAAAUUUUCCAAAAACAGCAAACCAAAGACGAGCUACUGACCCAAGCUUUGAACCAGUGACAGAACCUCGGAUCGGAGAUCAUUGAUACACCCUCGUUAAACUUUACUCAACUUUAGUUCAUAACUCAAUAAAACUGAAAUUCUGAUCUACUCUUAGAUUUUGAUUUGGGUUACAAUGAUUUACAGAGCUUUUCCGGUUCCUAUCUCAUUUUCAGCGAGCUGGAGAAUGGGGCUGACGACGAGAGAUGGUUGAAACUUUCUUUGUUCUUUCUUUCUUUCUUUUUCUCUCUUUACAGAGCUUUUCUAGUUCCUCUCUCAUUUUCGGCGAGCUGGAAAAUGGGCUGACGAAAGGAGAUGGGUGAAGGUCGAGGCUAAACUAGAGAAGAAGAAGCAGUGGCGGAGAAGACGUGACUAGGGUUCAGGGGUGUGGCUGGCUGAAGCUCGUUUUUCCGGCGAGCUUGAGAACAAAGAAUAUGUGGUCGCGGCACAAGCUUAGGGGUGAGAGAGUGGUGGUCGUUUGAGGGCUGGUUCACGGCUGGGACGUCUGCUGCUAAGGUCUGGUCGGCGGCUGGAGAGUGGUUAUGAAGUUCCGGCGACGGCAGAUAUGGGUGGCGCGACGGCUGGAGGAGAACGGGUGGUCACCAGUUGUGGUAUUCUGGACGAUGGUGAGUGGCGAGAAGGGUGUGGGGUUGAGCUUAGGCGGCUAGGUUUUUUGUAAUGUUUUUUCCAUUGUUGUUCCUUGGUGUUCCAUGCUGAGGAAGAAGACCCCUCUUAACUUUUCUAGGAUUUUUUCACCUUGUU